UACGGAGGGUGCAAACGUUGCUCGGAAUUAUUGGGCGUAAAGCGCGCGUAGGCGCUUGGCAAGUUGGGUGUGAAAGCCCUGGGCUCAACCCAGGAUGUGCACUCAAAACUGCCAAGCUUGAAUCUCGGAGGGGGACAGGGAAUUCUCGGUGUAGAGGUGAAAUUCGUAGAUAUCGGGAGGAACACCAGUGGCGAAGGCGCUGUCCUGGACGAUGAUUGACGCUGAGGCGCGAAAGCAUGGGGAGCGAACA
RNAcentral lists this ribosomal RNA (250 nucleotides) under uncultured bacterium. Its description in RNAcentral is "partial 16S ribosomal RNA". It matches the Rfam family "Bacterial small subunit ribosomal RNA", at positions 524 to 774 of the family's 1533-position model. The record is from RNAcentral.